This is a long non-coding RNA of Amphiprion ocellaris (clown anemonefish), 1245 nucleotides long. RefSeq lists it as uncharacterized. The transcript has 2 exons. NCBI's taxonomy places the organism in Eukaryota, Metazoa, Chordata, Actinopteri, Pomacentridae. The record is from RefSeq and is a predicted model, not a curated record.
UAAUGAACCAUGUUUUGAGUGAAGUGUCGAAGCUUCAACAAAGCCUCGAUCAGCCAUCACUAGGAGCAGCUGGUGGCAACCAAUCCUCCUUGCAGUCCUCUGCUGUGGGAGUUUAUGAGGAAUGUGUAUCCUGGAGGCAUCAGCUGCAUCAUCAGCAAAGGAGACUGGCUGUUCAGACUAGGAGGGGGACCAGCUUAUGAUCGUGUUGGUACCAAGGACAGCAUCAUGAUCCGUGUCCCUGACCACACGGUGAUCGGACACUAUUAAUGAUGUGAUAUCACUGGACCUUUUGCUAUUAGGCAGACAGCACUCACCACAGCAUGGUCAUCAAGGAAGUGUCUCCUUGAGUAACUGUAUUGUACUAAAAUACAAACACUGACAUAAUUUAUGAUGCUAUGUAGGAUCCACCAGCCAUUUUCAACAGUGAAACAGAACCAGAGCAGGUUUUGUUUAUUCCCCCGCCUAUAGCUCUGGAGUCCUAACACCUCUGCAGCCACAGGAUGGAGACAGGCUCCCCCUUUGAUCAGUGAGGCAAGAGGGACACCAGGACACCACACCAGAUGUGGAACAAUGUCUGGCACGAGGGCGCAAAGCACUGAGUCAGCAGGAAGCGAGCAGAAGAUCAGACUUUAAAGGAUUCCUCUAUACAGACUCCCAGGAUGUGUACUGGACCUGUCUCCAACCAAGAGACUGGGUUAAACCCCCAGCCACCACCUGGCCUCCAAGGAACCAAAUUGCCGGCAAUAAAAAUUCUGACUGAUUCCUGAGCCAUAGAUGGGGGGAGGCUCAGAAACCUGGAGGACAACUUCAGAGACAUUCUAUUCACUGACAAAGGAACUCUGAACUCACAUCAGAACUAACAAAGACAGUCCCACAAUUCUGGACUCAACUCCUUUACAUGUACAGUCAUUUCACAGAACAAAUGAACUUCUCAAUAACUUAACAGUCAGUCUACAUUAUGUCUUGCCUGUAAUCUUUCAUUUCUCCUGAUUGGUACCAACAUAAUAUGUCUUAACAUAUCUGCUAGUCACAUGAUCAUAUUUUGUAUCAUUCCGAUACACUCUUGGUUAGUAAUGCACCUAGAUAAAUAAUGCUCACCAAAUUUCUAUAUUUUUGGAGUUACAGAUACCACAAAAUUAUCUUCACAUGUAAUUAUGCGGGGGACAUCUGGUUGAUAGACAUCAUUAAUCAUAGUUAGUUGUUGUUGUCUUGUUUGCUGUUAGUAAAUAAAUGUUUUGUAACGAA